Molecule: ribosomal RNA, 345 nt
Filed under: uncultured bacterium
Lineage: Bacteria
Description: bacterial SSU rRNA
Rfam family: Bacterial small subunit ribosomal RNA
Source: RNAcentral
GGGCCCGCACAAGCGGUGGAGCAUGUGGUUUAAUUCGAUGAUACGCGAGGAACCUUACCAGGGCUUAAAUGUAAGUUGCAUAAGCUAGAGAUAGCUUUUUUCUUCGGACUACUUACAAGGUGCUGCAUGGUUGUCGUCAGCUCGUGCCGUGAGGUGUCAGGUUAAGUCCUAUAACGAGCGCAACCCCUGUUGUUAGUUGCCAUCGAGUAAUGUCGGGAACUCUAACAAGACUGCCGGUGCAAACCGUGAGGAAGGUGGGGAUGACGUCAAAUCAUCACGGCCCUUACGUCCUGGCUACACACGUGCUACAAUGGCCGGUACAGAGAGCAGCCACUACGCGAGUAG